UGGGGAAUAUUGGACAAUGGGGGCAACCCUGAUCCAGCAACGCCGCGUGGGGGAUGAAGGUCUUCGGAUUGUAAACCCCUGUUGGGAGGGACGAAGGCUCGAGGGCGAACAGCUCUCGCGCUUGACGGUACCUCAAGAGGAAGCCCCGGCUAACUCUGUGCCAGCAGCCGCGGUAAUACAGAGGGGGCGAGCGUUAUUCGGAAUUAUUGGGCGUAAAGGGCGCGUAGGCGGCUAAGUAAGUCUCGGGUGAAAUCCCUCGGCUCAACCGAGGAACUGCCUUGGAAACUGCUUGGCUUGAGGCCGGGAGAGGAUGGUGGAAUUCCCAGUGUAGCGGUGAAAUGCGUAGAUAUUGGGAGGAACACCGGUGGCGAAGGCGGCCAUCUGGACCGGUCCUGACGCUGAGGCGCGAAAGCGUGGGGAGCAAACAGG
This 429-nucleotide ribosomal RNA is filed under the name uncultured Acidobacteriota bacterium. Its description in RNAcentral is "bacterial SSU rRNA". It matches the Rfam family "Bacterial small subunit ribosomal RNA", at positions 355 to 776 of the family's 1533-position model. The record is from RNAcentral. Lineage: Bacteria; Pseudomonadati; Acidobacteriota.